AUUGAACGCUGGCGGCGUGCCUAACACAUGCAAGUCGAGCGGUAACGCGGGAGCAAUCCUGGCGACGAGCGGCGAACGGGUGAGUAAUGCUUCGGAAUCUGCCCAGUAGUGGGGAAUAACCAACCGAAAGGUUGGCUAAUGCCGCAUACGACCCCUUUCCACAUCGGGGAGGGAUGAAAGCGGGGGAUCGUAAGACCUCGCGCUAUUGGAUGAGCCGAAGUCGGAUUAGCUAGUUGGUAGGGUAACGGCCUACCAAGGCGACAAUCCGUAGCUGGUC
This 277-nucleotide ribosomal RNA is filed under the name uncultured bacterium. Its description in RNAcentral is "partial 16S ribosomal RNA". It matches the Rfam family "Bacterial small subunit ribosomal RNA", at positions 30 to 292 of the family's 1533-position model. The record is from RNAcentral.